RNAcentral lists this long non-coding RNA (218 nucleotides) under Nicotiana benthamiana. RNAcentral describes it as "long non-coding RNA (NBEN_LNC018391)". Lineage: Eukaryota; Viridiplantae; Streptophyta; Magnoliopsida; Solanales; Solanaceae. The record is from RNAcentral.
GACUCAAACUAAGAGCCUUCGCCAUCAAAGCUUGAUAAGUUCUACCUCGCUCGAACUGAAUUUAAUGCCAAGAGCCUUCGCCAUCAAAGCUUGAUAAGUUUGACCUCGCUCGAACUGAGACUCAGGCUAAGUGCCUUCAUUAUUAAAGUUUUAUAAGUUUGACCUCGCUCGGACUGAAUUUAAGGCCAAGUGCCUUCGCCAUCAAAGUCUGAUAAGUU